RNAcentral lists this ribosomal RNA (449 nucleotides) under uncultured bacterium. RNAcentral's name for it is "partial 16S ribosomal RNA". It matches the Rfam family "Bacterial small subunit ribosomal RNA", at positions 328 to 793 of the family's 1533-position model. The record is from RNAcentral.
CGACCAGACUCCUACGGGAGGCAGCAGUGGGGGAUAUUGCACAAUGGGGGGAACCCUGAUGCAGCGACGCCGCGUGGGUGAAGAAGCGCCUCGGCGCGUAAAGCCCUGUCAGCAGGGAAGAAAAUGACGGUACCUGAAGAAGAAGCCCCGGCUAACUACGUGCCAGCAGCCGCGGUAAUACGUAGGGGGCAAGCGUUAUCCGGAUUUACUGGGUGUAAAGGGAGCGUAGACGGCAUGGCAAGUCAGAUGUGAAAGCCCGGGGCUCAACCCCGGGACUGCAUUUGAAACUGUGCUGCUAGAGUGUCGGAGAGGCAGGCGGAAUUCCUAGUGUAGCGGUGAAAUGCGUAGAUAUUAGGAGGAACACCGGUGGCGAAGGCGGCCUGCUGGACUGCAACUGACGUUGAGGCCCGAAAGCGUGGGGAGCAAACAGGAUUAGAUACCCGAGUAAG